Non-coding RNA from Glycine max (soybean), 121 nucleotides. NCBI's taxonomy places the organism in Eukaryota, Viridiplantae, Streptophyta, Magnoliopsida, Fabales, Fabaceae. The record is from Rfam.
UUUUGAUUGGAUGAUGACUGUCACGUGUCAAGUUCUGAUUGGAUGUUGACUCUGUAGACGAUGAAAAUGUAUUCUUGUUGUCAACGUCCAAUCAGAAUGUGACACGUGACAAUCAUCAUCC